CCCCUCUUCCUCCUUUUGUCAACAGACAUUCCUGUAUUCACUGGUCAUUCGGGGGAGGUAAAGAACAGAUAUUUUAAAAACACAAGCUAGCUGGGUGCUUGUGUCAGGUCACAUGAGACACAG
RNAcentral lists this small nucleolar RNA (123 nucleotides) under Canis lupus dingo (dingo). RNAcentral's name for it is "Small nucleolar RNA SNORA27 (ENSCAFG00020009519.1)". The record is from RNAcentral. Lineage: Eukaryota; Metazoa; Chordata; Mammalia; Carnivora; Canidae.